UACGUAGGGCGCAAGCGUUGUCCGGAAUUAUUGGGCGUAAAGAGCUCGUAGGCGGUCUGUUACGUCCGCUGUGAAAACCCAGGGCUUAACCCUGGGCUUGCAGUGGAUACGGGUAGACUAGAGGCAGGUAGGGGAGAAUGGAAUUCCCGGUGUAGCGGUGAAAUGCGUAGAUAUCUGGAGGAACACCGGUGGCGAAGGCGGCAUCCUGGACCAACACUGACACUGAGGAGCGAAAGCCAGGGGAGCAAACGGG
This 253-nucleotide ribosomal RNA is filed under the name uncultured bacterium. RNAcentral's name for it is "partial 16S ribosomal RNA". It matches the Rfam family "Bacterial small subunit ribosomal RNA", at positions 524 to 776 of the family's 1533-position model. The record is from RNAcentral.